UUGAGGGUUUUCUUAAUGAAAGAUGUAAGCUAGAAGUCUAAGUGUACAAUUAGACUAAUAAAUAAUUAGACUUCUAACUUCAAAAUUUCAAUAAUUUAGCAUUCUCACACAACUUGUCUUUUACUUCUCCUUCAUUCAAGCUCUAAUACCAAGUAAUAAAAUUAUUUUAACAGGAUCAGCCCAUCAAAAGUACCACCAUAUGCCUUCUUUGCAAGAGCAAGCAGAAUGGAAAAAUGGAGUAGAAAUGAGAGCUCUCUGAACACAUAUAAGCCACAAUGUGAACUUCACCAGCUGUACAGCUGUUACAUUGCAAAAUGUUAUCUGACACAAGAAGAAUCUCUCUGAUGUCUUUGGUGAGGUGAUGUGGAUCUUCUACCACCCUAACAUGGUAUCAUUCCUGCAAUUAAAGGAUUCCCUCAAGUUGCACCACGAGGCGUACAGUUAAGAACCCAAACAAAGGCCUUCUGAACACCACUACUUUAAAGGAAUUGCUAAGCACCGGAGGAGCGCUGAGCGCGGACAGCCGCGCACCUUCACCGCCCCGCCCGCCAAGCGCC
Long non-coding RNA from Lagopus leucura (white-tailed ptarmigan), 557 nucleotides. RefSeq lists it as uncharacterized. The record is from RefSeq and is a predicted model, not a curated record. NCBI's taxonomy places the organism in Eukaryota, Metazoa, Chordata, Aves, Galliformes, Phasianidae. The transcript is spliced from 3 exons.